RNAcentral lists this ribosomal RNA (510 nucleotides) under uncultured bacterium. RNAcentral's name for it is "bacterial SSU rRNA". It matches the Rfam family "Bacterial small subunit ribosomal RNA", at positions 32 to 507 of the family's 1533-position model. The record is from RNAcentral.
AACGCUGGCGGCGUGCUUAACACAUGCAAGUCGAACGAAAAGAGGGAAAGAGCUUUGCUCUUUCCGGAAUUGAGUGGCAAACGGGUGAGUAACACGUAAACAACCUGCCUUCAGGAUGGGGACAACAGACGGAAACGACUGCUAAUACCGAAUAAGUUCCAAGAGCCGCAUGGCCCAUGGAAGAAAAGGUGGCCUCUACCUGUAAGCUAUCGCCUGAAGAGGGGUUUGCGUCUGAUUAGCUGGUUGGAGGGGUAACGGCCCACCAAGGCGAUGAUCAGUAGCCGGUCUGAGAGGAUGAACGGCCACAUUGGGACUGAGACACGGCCCAGACUCCUACGGGAGGCAGCAGUGGGGAAUCUUCCGCAAUGGACGAAAGUCUGACGGAGCAACGCCGCGUGAGUGAUGACGGCCUUCGGGUUGUAAAGCUCUGUUAAUCGGGACGAAUGGUUCUUGUGCGAAUAGUGCGAGGAUUUGACGGUACCGGAAUAGAAAGCCACGGCUAACUACGUG